GGAGUAGAAGGGUGUCUGGUGUGCCCCCCGGUCUUCAACACCGGUGUGAGGAGCUAAUACUUCUCGGGUGGGUUCGAUUCCCACCUGCUCUCGCCA
RNAcentral lists this transfer RNA (96 nucleotides) under Eubacterium oxidoreducens. RNAcentral describes it as "tRNA_SeC_TCA". It matches the Rfam family "Selenocysteine transfer RNA". Lineage: Bacteria; Bacillati; Bacillota; Clostridia; Eubacteriales; Eubacteriaceae. The record is from RNAcentral.